GGGCCGGUAGUUCAGCCCGGUUGGGACAGAUCCUCCGGUGAGAACGUCCGCCUUACACGCGGAAACCAUGUCGAGGCCGCACGGUCGGGAGUUCAAAUCUCCCCCGGCCCA
Molecule: transfer RNA, 111 nt
Filed under: archaeon 13_2_20CM_2_53_6
Lineage: Archaea
Description: tRNA-Val
Rfam family: tRNA
About the family: Transfer RNA (tRNA) molecules are approximately 80 nucleotides in length. Their secondary structure includes four short double-helical elements and three loops (D, anti-codon, and T loops). Further hydrogen bonds mediate the characteristic L-shaped molecular structure. tRNAs have two regions of fundamental functional importance: the anti-codon, which is responsible for specific mRNA codon recognition, and the 3' end, to which the tRNAs corresponding amino acid is attached (by aminoacyl-tRNA synthetases). tRNAs cope with the degeneracy of the genetic code in two manners: having more than one tRNA (with a specific anti-codon) for a particular amino acid; and 'wobble' base-pairing, i.e. permitting non-standard base-pairing at the 3rd anti-codon position.
Source: RNAcentral